UACGUAGGGGGCUAGCGUUGUCCGGAAUCAUUGGGCGUAAAGAGCGUGUAGGCGGCCCGGUAAGUCCGCUGUGAAAGUCGGGGGCUCAACCCUCGAAUGCCGGUGGAUACUGUCGGGCUAGAGUGCGGAAGAGGCGAGUGGAAUUCCUGGUGUAGCGGUGAAAUGCGCAGAUAUCAGGAGGAACACCAAUUGCGAAGGCGCUCUACUGGGCCACAACUGACGCUGAGGGACGAAAGCUAGGGGAGCGAAAGGG
This 253-nucleotide ribosomal RNA is filed under the name uncultured bacterium. Its description in RNAcentral is "partial 16S ribosomal RNA". It matches the Rfam family "Bacterial small subunit ribosomal RNA", at positions 524 to 776 of the family's 1533-position model. The record is from RNAcentral.